AUUGAACGCUGGCGGCAGGCCUAACAUAUGCAAGUCGAGCGGAUGAAGGGAGCUUGCUCCUGGAUUCAGCGGCGGACGGGUGAGUAAUGCCUAGGAAUCUGCCUGGUCGUGGGGGAUAACGUCCGGAAACGGGCGCUAAUACCGCAUACGUCCUGAGGGAGAAAGUGGGGGAUCUUCGGACCUCACGCUAUCAGAUGAGCCUAGGUCGGAUGAGCUAGUUGGUGGGGUAAAGGCCUACCAAGGCGACGAUCCGUAACUGGUCUGAGAGGAUGAUCAGUCACACUGGAACUGAGACACGGUCCAGACUCCUACGGGAGGCAGCAGUGGGGAAUAUUGGACGAUGGGCGAAAGCCUGAUCCAGCCAUGCCGCGUGUGUGAAGAAGGUCUUCGGAUUGUAAAGCACUUUAAGUUGGGAGGAAGGGCAGUAAGUUAAUACCUUGCUGUUUUGACGUUACCAACAGAAUAAGCACCGGCUAACUUCGUG
RNAcentral lists this ribosomal RNA (484 nucleotides) under uncultured bacterium. RNAcentral describes it as "partial 16S ribosomal RNA". It matches the Rfam family "Bacterial small subunit ribosomal RNA", at positions 30 to 507 of the family's 1533-position model. The record is from RNAcentral.